CCUACGGGUGGCUGCAGUGGGGAAUAUUGCACAAUGGGCGCAAGCCUGAUGCAGCCAUGCCGCGUGUGUGAAGAAGGCCUUCGGGUUGUAAAGCACUUUCAGCGGGGAGGAAGGCGUUAAGGUUAAUAACCUUGGCGAUUGACGUUACCCGCAGAAGAAGCACCGGCUAACUCCGUGCCAGCAGCCGCGGUAAUACGGAGGGUGCAAGCGUUAAUCGGAAUUACUGGGCGUAAAGCGCACGCAGGCGGUCUGUCAAGUCGGAUGUGAAAUCCCCGGGCUCAACCUGGGAACUGCAUUCGAAACUGGCAGGCUAGAGUCUUGUAGAGAGGGGUAGAAUUCCAGGUGUAGCGGUGAAAUGCGUAGAGAUCUGGAGGAAUACCGGUGGCGAAGGCGGCCCCCUGGACAAAGACUGACGCUCAGGUGCGAAAGCGUGGGGAGCAAACAGGAUUAGAUACCCUAGUAGUC
RNAcentral lists this ribosomal RNA (465 nucleotides) under uncultured Klebsiella sp. RNAcentral describes it as "bacterial SSU rRNA". It matches the Rfam family "Bacterial small subunit ribosomal RNA", at positions 338 to 795 of the family's 1533-position model. The record is from RNAcentral. Lineage: Bacteria; Pseudomonadati; Pseudomonadota; Gammaproteobacteria; Enterobacterales; Enterobacteriaceae.